Cephus cinctus (wheat stem sawfly) is the source of this 519-nucleotide long non-coding RNA. RefSeq lists it as uncharacterized. The transcript has 3 exons. The record is from RefSeq and is a predicted model, not a curated record. NCBI's taxonomy places the organism in Eukaryota, Metazoa, Arthropoda, Insecta, Hymenoptera, Cephidae.
CGACUGAUUACAGGGAAUCAACUUAACCGAAUGGUUUCCGGUCUACGUCUACGAGAGUGCUCGUUACAAGACACCACACAAAUUUCCUCUUCCAAAUUUAGCAGAUCUAAACAAAAAAAAAAAUGAAGAAAAUGCAAUAAGAGUAAUUGCCAAAGAAAAGAAGAAUCAGAAGAGCGUGACCCAAACAACAAAAAGGAACAAUUGAAUAAGGAACACAGCAGACACUACAAGUUGGAACAUAGCCGACGGCAAGUCCAAAGAUUCCUCCCAAAGAUUCCUGCUCGAGUAACAAGUACCUCGUUAACAACAAAAUUAUAUAAAAUCCCCCAAAAAAAAAGAUCAACCCUGGAAGUGGCAACGCGUCUGAAGCUCUUACGUGAUAUAUGCACAUCCUCAGUGAAAGAGGGCGUGCAAAGAAGUAGUAAAGAAGCAAUAUAGUUAAUAGCACUAAGUGCGGAUAAGAGUGUUAGUCGGUGCACACGCACGCAUAAGACGAGGAGGAGCAAAACGGGGCCUGUU